GUUUCCUCCUCACUGUCCCGACCCUUCUGUGCUUUCUGACGUCUCCCAUCUCCUUUCUCUGUGGGCGCUUCUCCUUGCCCCUUCUCUCUCUACAUGUCUCUCUCCCAGGGUGUGCUCCAAGUUGAGUCUCUCACCCACGCCCCCCCCGCCCCCGGGAGCCUAGGCCUUGGCAGUGUGGGAGUCCUGGAAGCAGUCCUGAGGUGACAGCUUUUCCUUUAGGACCUUAUCUUCUUCUCCCUGUCCUUGCCCCCUUCUCACCCCCAGCAGGCUCCACAUCCCCUCGUGGCCCUCUCUGGAGACAGAAGUAAGAAUACUCCCCACACGCGAGACGCAGAAACCCUGGCACAGAGGAAAAGAGGUGACCAGUAAGGAAUGGAGAGGCCAAAUACAGACGAAGACUAAGAAAAUGAGAAAGAAGAGGACAGGGUGGAACCACAUGGCAGAGAAGAAGAAAAGGAAGGAAGACCAGGAGCAGAGACCUGCCGGGCAUUGCGAGCCAGACAGUCUGGGUGGGCAUGGGACACUCACCAUGAUUCCCAACAAACCUUGCCAAAAACUUCUAGGGUUGGACCCUAAGGCCUGCCCUCUGUCUGCCAGCUCUCACACAGACCCCUGAGGAGCACCCCCCUCUAUCUGAAGUCAGAGCCCAGUGCCUGCCCUCAGCUCCUGGGGUUCCAUGCUUGCCAGAAUGGUGAUCACUCAGCCUUCAGUUGCUGUGGGACUGUCAGGCAUUUCAGGGACCCGUUGUUUCAAACCUGCUAAGAGAUGUGAGCCAUUUUUACCUCAUCCACAUCUGUAUAUCCCAUCCCACAGCCAACAGACACUCUGUCUAUAGCUGUCUCUACCUACCCCACCCAGUGACAAAACUCAGCCAAAGGGAUCAAGCAAUCUCCCCACACCCCACAAUGGGAGACAGCCCUUGGCAUCUGGACUAUAAAUCCAGUGAAGAACACCAAUGCCCAAAGCCCCUGCCCACAACCUGGUUCACACAGCUGCCACCUAUGGAGUAUCCCGUGGGUUUCACCCAAAGUCACUAACACCAAGAAAGCUGCCCUCCCCGACUAAAGCUGUGUUCUAGCACCCCCCAAACCCCAUCUGUAACAGUAAAUGCCCAACUCCUAAAGCCAAAGCACCCCAAUUUCAAUACAGAAGGAAACUGGGCCUGAGGAUCUUGAUACAUCCCUGACCACCUAUCAUUUCUGGAUCUUUUCUGCACCCACCACCACCUCUACACCUUCACCUGGAGUGAACAUCUCUACCUUGUGGCUCAACACCCUCUUCAUGCAGUUCUCUUCAAGUCACCUCACCAGGAACAGUGAUGAAAGUCUUUCACUCACAGCUAAAUGCCUGCUUCCAAGGCCUUUAGGACUCUGUGGUUAGUGUGGGUUCCCUGGGGCACACCCCUGGUGAGUACAUCUGAAUCAUCUCUGCAACCCUGGGACCAGUUUCACAUAACUUUUUGUGUAAGGAUGAAGGGACAAAAGAGAGGGAGAGACAAGGUGAUAACACAGCCCUGCUCCUGCCCUGGCACUCUGAGGACAUCAGGCCCAGAUGACUGUAGCUGGCCAUGGGGACUCUGAGGCCAGGCUAGGAUCCAUCCACCAUGCCCAAUAGUGAAUAAGAGCCAGUCAGCUAGACACACCUUCCCACUUACCAGAGCUGUAACUUAUUCCUUGGCUUUUCCUAACCCUCAGGAGCCUUUCCUUAUCACUUUCUCCAAAAUUUUUCUGGAAGCCCCCUAAGCAGGCCAGUCUCUUCCCUUCUUCCCUAACCCAGCACCUUGUAGCCCCUUGGUUGAGGUAAUAGUGUUUAUGCCUGACUCUUCAUCAGCUGGGGGCCCCUCUGAGGCCUCAGAAGAUCUGCCUUUUUUCUUCUCCUUCAGACAAUAGUUCAAGGCCUAGUGCAUAAGAAAUUCCAGAAAAUGUUGGCUGUAAGAAU
This 1938-nucleotide long non-coding RNA is filed under the name Marmota monax (woodchuck). Lineage: Eukaryota; Metazoa; Chordata; Mammalia; Rodentia; Sciuridae. The record is from RNAcentral.